This is a long non-coding RNA of Athalia rosae (coleseed sawfly), 636 nucleotides long. RefSeq lists it as uncharacterized. The transcript has 2 exons. NCBI's taxonomy places the organism in Eukaryota, Metazoa, Arthropoda, Insecta, Hymenoptera, Athaliidae. The record is from RefSeq and is a predicted model, not a curated record.
UGAUUCAACAGCUGGCCUUUGUGACGGUCAACAAGGACCGGAAAGAAUCGUUUAGAGCAAAAUCUGUCAAAAGUUUGUUAUCAAAAAGUUGUAUAUUUUCUUGAGAAAUUAGUAACCCUAUCGAUACGGCGGACACUACGGAGGCUUUGUUUUUAUUGUUACGUGAAAUGUAGAAGUUUUCAAGAAAAAAUAGAAGAAUAGCAGCACGAACAUCGUGUCAGACGCGUGAAAUAUCCGGACUAACGACCCUGCAGUCGAUUAGGUUGAAAAAAAAAGUUGGUGUGUAGGAAAAAUUGGCCCACAUGGACCGAGUGCUCGGUUAACCAUACAAUAACACAGUACAAUACAACGUGGAUAAAAUAUACGUCGGAAUUCAAUCAGUGGCUUUUAUUUACAGAUGCUACGAAUCUAUAAUAGUAAAAAUAUCGAGUUGUGGUUAUAUACAGUGAAAUAUAUAAAUGUUUAUUGGCCACAAGGUGAACGACAGACAGUGGCGAGCAAUCACACAAUUUUAUCAUAUAAUUACAAAAGACUACUAAAUACAAAUCGAUACAAAAAAAAAGAAUAUCUAUUUACAAGUCUCAAUAUACACCAGACUCAUACACAAAAUCAGGAAUUUAUACAUGGAAAAAAGAG